This 516-nucleotide ribosomal RNA is filed under the name uncultured Oscillibacter sp. RNAcentral describes it as "bacterial SSU rRNA". It matches the Rfam family "Bacterial small subunit ribosomal RNA", at positions 1 to 507 of the family's 1533-position model. The record is from RNAcentral. Lineage: Bacteria; Bacillati; Bacillota; Clostridia; Eubacteriales; Oscillospiraceae.
ACGAGAGUUGGUAUCCGUACGGCGUACAGGACGAACGGCUGGCGGCGUGCUUAACUACAUAGCAAGUGACGGAAGGUGACCUCGGAAAGAGAUUUACGGUCAAAUGGAAGAGGUUACGUUAGUGGCGGACGGGUGAGUAACGCGUGAGGAACCUGCCUUUCAGAGGGGGACAACAGUUGGAAACGACUGCUAAUACCGCAUAACAUAUGUUUGUCGCAUGGCAGAUAUAUCAAAGAUUUAUCGCUGAGAGAUGGCCUCGCGUCUGAUUAGCUGGUUGUAGGGUAACGGCCUACCAAGGCGACGAUCAGUAGCCGGAUUGAGAGGUUGGCCGGCCACAUUGGGACUGAGAUACGGCCCAGACUCCUACGGGAGGCAGCAGUGGGGAAUAUUGGGCAAUGGGCGCAAGCCUGACCCAGCAACGCCGCGUGAAGGAAGAAGGCUUUCGGGUUGUAAACUUCUUUUAAGAGGGAAGAGCAGAAGGCGGUACCUCUUGAAUAAGCUCCGGCUAACUACGUG